RNAcentral lists this ribosomal RNA (497 nucleotides) under uncultured bacterium. Its description in RNAcentral is "partial 16S ribosomal RNA". It matches the Rfam family "Bacterial small subunit ribosomal RNA", at positions 28 to 507 of the family's 1533-position model. The record is from RNAcentral.
GAUGAACGCUGGCGGCGUGCCUAAUACAUGCAAGUCGAGCGAACGGACGAGAAGCUUGCUUCUCUGAUGUUAGCGGCGGACGGGUGAGUAACACGUGGAUAACCUACCUAUAAGACUGGGAUAACUUCGGGAAACCGGAGCUAAUACCGGAUAAUAUUUUGAACCGCAUGGUUCAAAAGUGAAAGACGGUCUUGCUGUCACUUAUAGAUGGAUCCGCGCUGCAUUAGCUAGUUGGUAAGGUAACGGCUUACCAAGGCAACGAUGCAUAGCCGACCUGAGAGGGUGAUCGGCCCCACUGGAACUGAGACACGGUCCAGACUCCUACGGGAGGCAGCAGUAGGGAAUCUUCCGCAAUGGGCGAAAGCCUGACGGAGCAACGCCGCGUGAGUGAUGAAGGUCUUCGGAUCGUAAAACUCUGUUACUAGGGAAGAACAUAUGUGUAAGUAACUGUGCACAUCUUGACGGUACCUAAUCAGAAAGCCACGGCUAACUACGUG